RNAcentral lists this ribosomal RNA (291 nucleotides) under uncultured bacterium. RNAcentral describes it as "partial 16S ribosomal RNA". It matches the Rfam family "Bacterial small subunit ribosomal RNA", at positions 506 to 796 of the family's 1533-position model. The record is from RNAcentral.
UGCCAGCAGCCGCGGUAAUACGGAGGGUGCAAGCGUUACUCGGAAUCACUGGGCGUAAAGAGCGUGUAGGCGGGUUAAUAAGUUUGAAGUGAAAUCCUAUGGCUCAACCAUAGAACUGCUUUGAAAACUGUUAACCUAGAAUAUGGGAGAGGUAGAUGGAAUUUCUGGUGUAGGGGUAAAAUCCGUAGAGAUCAGAAGGAAUACCGAUUGCGAAGGCGAUCUACUGGAACAUUAUUGACGCUGAGACGCGAAAGCGUGGGGAGCAAACAGGAUUAGAAACCCCCGUAGUCC